GACGAACGCUGGCGGCGUGCUUAACACAUGCAAGUCGAACGGAAAGGCCCUGCUUUUGUGGGGUGCUCGAGUGGCGAACGGGUGAGUAACACGUGAGUAACCUGCCCUUGACUUUGGGAUAACUUCAGGAAACUGGGGCUAAUACCGGAUAGGAGCUCCUGCUGCAUGGUGGGGGUUGGAAAGUUUCGGCGGUUGGGGAUGGACUCGCGGCUUAUCAGCUUGUUGGUGGGGUAGUGGCUUACCAAGGCUUUGACGGGUAGCCGGCCUGAGAGGGUGACCGGCCACAUUGGGACUGAGAUACGGCCCAGACUCCUACGGGAGGCAGCAGUGGGGAAUAUUGCACAAUGGGCGGAAGCCUGAUGCAGCAACGCCGCGUGCGGGAUGACGGCCUUCGGGUUGUAAACCGCUUUCGCCUGUGACGAAGCGUGAGUGACGGUAAUGGGUAAAGAAGCACCGGCUAACUACGUGCCAGCAGCCGCGGUGAUACGUAGGGUGCGAGCGUUGUCCGGAUUUAUUGGGCGUAAAGGGCUCGUAGGUGGUUGAUCGCGUCGGAAGUGUAAUCUUGGGGCUUAACCCUGAGCGUGCUUUCGAUACGGGUUGACUUGAGGAAGGUAGGGGAGAAUGGAAUUCCUGGUGGAGCGGUGGAAUGCGCAGAUAUCAGGAGGAACACCAGUGGCGAAGGCGGUUCUCUGGGCCUUUCCUGACGCUGAGGAGCGAAAGCGUGGGGAGCGAACAGGCUUAGAUACCCUGGUAGUCCACGCUGUAAACGGUGGGUACUAGGUGUGGGGUCCAUUCCACGGGUUCCGUGCCGUAGCUAACGCUUUAAGUACCCCGCCUGGGGAGUACGGCCGCAAGGCUAAAACUUAAAGGAAUUGACGGGGCCCCGCACAAGCGGCGGAGCAUGCGGAUUAAUUCGAUGCAACGCGUAGAACCUUACCUGGGUUUGACAUGGAUCGGGAGCGCUCAGAGAUGGGUGUGCCUCUUUUGGGGUCGGUUCACAGGUGGUGCAUGGCUGUCGUCAGCUCGUGUCGUGAGAUGUUGGGUUAAGUCCCGCAACGAGCGCAACCCUUGUUCACUGUUGCCAGCACGUUAUGGUGGGGACUCAGUGGAGACCGCCGGGGUCAACUCGGAGGAAGGUGGGGAUGACGUCAAGUCAUCAUGCCCCUUAUGUCCAGGGCUUCACGCAUGCUACAAUGGCUGGUACAGAGAGUGGCGAGCCUGUGAGGGUGAGCGAAUCUCGGAAAGCCGGUCUCAGUUCGGAUUGGGGUCUGCAACUCGACCUCAUGAAGUCGGAGUCGCUAGUAAUCGCAGAUCAGCAACGCUGCGGUGAAUACGUUCCCGGG
RNAcentral lists this ribosomal RNA (1343 nucleotides) under uncultured bacterium. RNAcentral describes it as "16S ribosomal RNA". It matches the Rfam family "Bacterial small subunit ribosomal RNA", at positions 28 to 1378 of the family's 1533-position model. The record is from RNAcentral.